CUCGCCGAGGGGCGCUGCGACCGUCGAUCAGGACGGCCAGGCUCGGCGCGGUGUCCCGCGAACGGCGCCCGUCAUCG
RNAcentral lists this non-coding RNA (77 nucleotides) under Xanthomonas sp. RNAcentral describes it as "SAH sequence". It matches the Rfam family "SAH (S-adenosyl-L-homocysteine) riboswitch aptamer". The record is from RNAcentral. Lineage: Bacteria; Pseudomonadati; Pseudomonadota; Gammaproteobacteria; Lysobacterales; Lysobacteraceae.